Molecule: ribosomal RNA, 460 nt
Filed under: uncultured bacterium
Lineage: Bacteria
Description: partial 16S ribosomal RNA
Rfam family: Bacterial small subunit ribosomal RNA
Source: RNAcentral
CCUACGGGGGGCUGCAGUGAGGAAUAUUGGUCAAUGGACGAGAGUCUGAACCAGCCAAGUAGCGUGAAGGAUGACUGCCCUAUGGGUUGUAAACUUCUUUUAUAUGGGAAUAAAACGUUCCACGUGUGGGAUUUUGUAUGUACCAUAUGAAUAAGGAUCGGCUAACUCCGUGCCAGCAGCCGCGGUAAUACGGAGGAUCCGAGCGUUAUCCGGAUUUAUUGGGUUUAAAGGGAGCGUAGGUGGAUUGUUAAGUCAGUUGUGAAAGUUUGCGGCUCAACCGUAAAAUUGCAGUUGAAACUGGCAGUCUUGAGUACAGUAGAGGUGGGCGGAAGUCGUGGUGUAGCGGUGAAAUGCUUAGAUAUCACGAAGAACUCCGAUUGCGAAGGCAGUUCACUGGACUGCAACUGACACUGAGGCUCGAAAGUGUGGGUAUCAAACAGGAUUAGAUACCCUUGUAGUC